CUUAGGAAUCAGCAAAAGAUUCACAUCUUUGACAGAAAAAGAAAAUUCUUCAUGGAAGCAAAAAGAAUCUUAUUCCAAGUUUCUCAUAUUGAAAAGGAUGGAAAGCAGUUCUUAAUGAGUGCUUACAAGCUUUAUAGGCAGGCACUGUGUCUGCUUCUCAUUAUCUCUGACACCAAGACAUUUUUCCAGUAAUUUGGUUGGUUUUGACGCUACCCUGAGACACACGCAGCACAGGAAACCAGUGCUGCUCAAGGCUCAGAGAACUUGAACUGGACACUCUCCUAUGGAUCAGACAGAAGAAGGAUUUCCCACCUCCUGAGAAUGAGACAACCAAGAGGUACUAGCAGUAAAAUCAGACAAUUCGCCCUAAAACUGAAUCACUGUUCAGGCCUUUCUCCCAGCCUGGGACCUACAAGCAAAAUAAAACUUCCUAAUUCGAUCAAGACCUAGACAGCUGCUUCUGGCAGGACACAGUUUGGUGUCACACACAAGGUUAGGAAACAGUAGCUCAUGAAAGUUUAAUCUGGAUGCCUAACGUGGCAAUCAGACACAUAACUCCCCAUGCAGCUCUGUCUUAGCCAGCUUGCUCUCCUUUGCCAGACCAGGGAUCUUGCUGAGAAGGUCAUUAGUAUGUUUAGUACCCUGCUGGAAAUAACUAGAGCGUAGAUGAGUGUGUUUCUUUUUAGCUCAGGUAUUCAUUCAGAUGGUGUCCUUGGUACAGCGGCUGCAUUUUCAGGACUGGUGUCCUUGCUAAUUGCUCCUCCUUAUAGUGCACUGCUAUUUCAUAACGUGCCUGUAGUUAUCAGCAAAGCCAAUACUAGUAUUCACAAACUGUUUUGGAAAACUGCAACCAGCAGUGCCUAAGAUAGUUUUUAAUAUUUAGACUAAUUGUUCCCAGUAGAAAAAUGGGAGUGUUUCAGUCUACAGGUCAAAGAUUUAUUUUCCCUCCAUACAAUUACAAUACUAAAAUCGUGUGAACGGUUUCUAAGAAAACAGAAUUGUGAGGUAAAUAGCAGGUGAAAUGAGAGAUUUUCAUUACCUGAAUGUGACAGUAUUGGAAUCUAUACUGUGUAUUGGUUGUUACCUUUUCUUUCUUGUAUUUAGUUACCAAUUUAUAAGCAUGUUGGACACUGCCUCUUACAGUUGUGUGGAGAGUACCACUGUAAGCUUUGAACCUUCAUGUAUGGGCAACAACAGACACAUGCACAGAAACAGCAUGUAUAUUUUCAAAUGCAAGAGCAUCCUACUUGCCUUCAAAAAUACACAAUAAAUAUCCUUGCCUCCUUGUCCUUUUUGCAUUUUAAGAUCAUUACCCUCAUUGUUUUGCUUUAGUAGGUCAAACAAUGCUGAGUCAGCUUUUUAAAAGCAUGUUUUUGAAAUUAACAAUUUGGUUUUAUUG
Long non-coding RNA from Gallus gallus (chicken), 1399 nucleotides. NCBI's taxonomy places the organism in Eukaryota, Metazoa, Chordata, Aves, Galliformes, Phasianidae. The record is from Ensembl.